GUGGAAAUGUAGGUCAAUUAAGCCUU
Molecule: non-coding RNA, 26 nt
Filed under: Cricetulus griseus (Chinese hamster)
Lineage: Eukaryota; Metazoa; Chordata; Mammalia; Rodentia; Cricetidae
Source: RNAcentral